Molecule: long non-coding RNA, 348 nt
Filed under: Physeter macrocephalus (sperm whale)
Lineage: Eukaryota; Metazoa; Chordata; Mammalia; Artiodactyla; Physeteridae
Description: Physeter catodon (sperm whale) lncRNA (ENSPCTG00005001651.1)
Source: RNAcentral
CGGCGGCCGCGGGUCCCAGGGGCAAGUGAGGGACCGAAGGCUCUGGAAGUCGCUCGGACCCUGGGUUCCUCCCCGUCGCGGGCUGUCCCCCGGACCCACCUCGGAAGUCUUGGGGGAUGCUGGACCAGGCUCUGCCUCCUGUGAUCCUGCCCAUCCCCUGGGAAGGACACCACAGGAAGGAAGGAGAAGGCAAUGGCUGCUGGGCCUCUACUAUUGGGAGUUGAGGGCAUCAGCUUUCCAAACCAAAUGUGAUAUCUCAGCUGGAUUGAGAACUGAGCCUGAUGACAAAAGAACAUCCAGGGUGCAUUUCCCCAGGUAAGGAUCUGGCUGCAAGAACUUGUUCCAUGA